RNAcentral lists this ribosomal RNA (1023 nucleotides) under Triticum aestivum (bread wheat). RNAcentral's name for it is "partial small subunit ribosomal RNA". The record is from RNAcentral. Lineage: Eukaryota; Viridiplantae; Streptophyta; Magnoliopsida; Poales; Poaceae.
CUAGCCUUCUGCCAGAGAUCCGGAGAUUCCUAGUUCUGGCAAUCCGUCAUUCAGCUCCUUCCGGUCCUUCGCAUCAGCACCUCGAUCGCGGUUGGAUCGGGCACCUCCACGUUGUUUUGGUUCGAUAGAUGGGCUGGCGACCGGCCCCUUGCGGCUCGGUUCCCGGACCUAUUCUCCAUCGUGGUUGAACCACGAAUCUCGGUUGCAACGGCCCUUAUUGACUUAGGGCAUCUCGCAUUCCGGAGAGCUUUUGGCCCGGCUGAGAAUGCGGACUGGCAUGAGCUGCUGGAAUGCAUCGCGCUCCAAGAACCUAAUCUCGAGGGGGAAGACCGGGCCAAGAGGCUUCUAGAGCCAUCGGGGCAGUUCUCCACUAAAUCUCUAUACAUGGCCAUCGCACCCUCGUUGGGUCAUGAGGCCCUCACUUCCAUCUGGGAGAUUCGACUCCCCUUGAAGAUUAGGAUAUUCAUGUGGCAAUUGAUUCUCGGCCGCCUACCCACCGGCGUGGAGGUCCUGAAGCGCAAUGGCCCAGGAGAUGGGCGUUGCCCGCUCUGCGGGCCUGAGGAAGAUUCGAACCAUAUCUUCUUCACAUGUGUGUCCACGAAGUUCCUUUGGAGUUGUUUCCAUGAAUUAGUGGGUGGAAGCUGGGAUCACAACAACUUCCCUGCCCUAUUCGCGGAACUCCAGGCAUUACCUCCCCCAUCCUGUCACAUUAGGUGGCUAGUCAUCGGAGUGCUAACCUGGACGCUGUGGACAGUUAGGAAUAAACUUGUGAUUCAGCAGAUCCCUCUUCGAUGUGCUACUGACGCUUUGUUCAAAUGGUCUAGUUACUUGAAGCUUUGGCGGCCGCUUAGCCGCCCCCAGGAGAGAGACGCCAUCACCUCCAUCAUCGCCCAGAUUCGUUCGAUGGCGCUCCGGCUGGCUCCCCCGCUCCCUCCUCCAUCACCUCGUCGUCGCCGCCGCCAUUGUGUUCGUAGUUUGAGCCGUGGUGUGUUAUUGGGCAUGUUAUGCUGUGCCCAUAGCUGA